This is a regulatory RNA element of Anolis carolinensis (green anole), 46 nucleotides long. It matches the Rfam family "Histone 3' UTR stem-loop". From Rfam's summary of the family: The mRNAs of metazoan histone genes lack a poly-A tail. 3' end processing occurs at a site between a highly conserved stem-loop (modelled by this family) and a purine rich region around 20 nts downstream (the histone downstream element, or HDE). The stem-loop is bound by a 31 kDa stem-loop binding protein (SLBP - also termed the histone hairpin binding protein, or HBP). NCBI's taxonomy places the organism in Eukaryota, Metazoa, Chordata, Lepidosauria, Squamata, Anolidae. The record is from Rfam.
CCAAAGGCUCUUUUCAGAGCCACCUAACUUUUCAAAAAAAGUUGCU